RNAcentral lists this ribosomal RNA (253 nucleotides) under uncultured bacterium. RNAcentral describes it as "partial 16S ribosomal RNA". It matches the Rfam family "Bacterial small subunit ribosomal RNA", at positions 524 to 776 of the family's 1533-position model. The record is from RNAcentral.
UACAGAGGGUGCAAGCGUUGUUCGGAAUUACUGGGCGUAAAGCGUGCGUAGACGGUAGCGUAAGUCAGAUGUGAAAGCCCCGGGCUCAACCUGGGAAUUGCAUUUGAGACUGCUCUGCUCGGGUGCGGAAGAGGGAAGCGGAAUUUCCGGUGUAGCGGUGAAAUGCGUAGAUAUCGGAAGGAACACCAGUGGCGAAAGCGGCUUCCUGGUCCGACACCGACGUUCAGGCACGAAAGCGUGGGGAGCAAACAGG